Molecule: ribosomal RNA, 494 nt
Filed under: uncultured bacterium
Lineage: Bacteria
Description: partial 16S ribosomal RNA
Rfam family: Bacterial small subunit ribosomal RNA
Source: RNAcentral
GACGAACGCUGGCGGCGUGCUUAACACAUGCAAGUCGAACGGAAAGGCCUGCUUUCCCUUGUGGAUUGCGGGUACUCGAGUGGCGAACGGGUGAGUAACACGUGAGUUAUCUGCCCCCAACUUGGGUAUAAGCCUGGGAAACUGGGUCUAAUUCCCGAUAGGACUGCAGGGUGGUGCCUGUGGUGGAACACGAUUCUCUAGUGGUUGGGGAUGAGCUCGCGGCCUUUCAGCUUGUUGGUGGGGUAAUGGCCUACCAAGGCGGCGACGGGUAGCCGGCUUGAGAGGGGGGACGGCGACAUUGGGACUGGGUUACGGCCCAGACGGCUACGGGAGGCAGGAGUGGGGAGUAAUGGAGCAUGGGCGGAAGCCUGCUGCAGCGACGCCGUGUGGGGGAUGACGGCCUUCGGGUGGUAAACUCCUUUCGAACGCGAGGAAGCCACCUGGUUGGAAGGGUGGUGACGGUAGUGGUAGAAGAAGCACCGGCUAACUACGUG